Molecule: ribosomal RNA, 235 nt
Filed under: uncultured bacterium
Lineage: Bacteria
Description: partial 16S ribosomal RNA
Rfam family: Bacterial small subunit ribosomal RNA
Source: RNAcentral
UGGCGGACGGGUGAGUAAUGUCUGGGAAACUGCCUGGUGGAGGGGGAUAACUACUGGAAACGGUAGCUAAUACCGCAUAACGUCGCAAGACCAAAGAGGGGGACCUUCGGGCCUCUUGCCAUCGGAUGUGCCCAGAUGGGAUUAGCUAGUGGGUGGGGUAACGGCUCACCUAGGCGACGAUCCCUAGCUGGUCUGAGAGGAUGACCAGCCACACUGGAACUGAGACACGGUCCAG